RNAcentral lists this ribosomal RNA (252 nucleotides) under uncultured microorganism. RNAcentral describes it as "partial 16S ribosomal RNA". It matches the Rfam family "Bacterial small subunit ribosomal RNA", at positions 524 to 776 of the family's 1533-position model. The record is from RNAcentral.
UACGUAGGGUGCGAGCGUUAAUCGGAUUUACUGGGCGUAAAGGGUGCGUAGGCGGACUUUCAAGCCAGGGGUGAAAGGCAUAGGCUUAACCAAUGUAAGCCUUUGGAACUGGGAGUCUUGAGUGCAGGAGAGGUAAGUGGAAUUCCUAGUGUAGAGGUGAAAUUCGUAGAUAUAUGGAGGAACACCGGUGGCGAAAGCGGCUCUCUGGCCUGUAACUGACGCUCAUGCACGAAAGCGUGGGUAGCAAACAGG